GGGCUCGUAGCUCAACUGAAUAGAGCAUCUGACUACGGAUCAGAAGGUUAGGGGUUUGAAUCCCUUCGAGCCCAC
Molecule: transfer RNA, 75 nt
Filed under: Cytophagales bacterium WSM2-2
Lineage: Bacteria; Pseudomonadati; Bacteroidota; Cytophagia; Cytophagales
Description: tRNA-Arg
Rfam family: tRNA
About the family: Transfer RNA (tRNA) molecules are approximately 80 nucleotides in length. Their secondary structure includes four short double-helical elements and three loops (D, anti-codon, and T loops).
Source: RNAcentral